GUGCAGGUAUGAGGUGAAUUUCUGAUGUGCUAAACUAACCUUUCAGGGUGAAUUAGCAGCGUGACUUACUAGCCAUUGCUGUCAGUCACCUUUAGACAAGU
RNAcentral lists this small nucleolar RNA (101 nucleotides) under Sorex araneus (European shrew). Lineage: Eukaryota; Metazoa; Chordata; Mammalia; Eulipotyphla; Soricidae. The record is from RNAcentral.